CAUGCAAGUCGAACGGUAACAGGUUAAGCUGACGAGUGGCGAACGGGUGAGUAAUGUAUCGGAACGUGCCCAGUCGUGGGGGAUAACUGCUCGAAAGAGCAGCUAAUACCGCAUACGACCUGAGGGUGAAAGCGGGGGAUCGCAAGACCUCGCGCGAUUGGAGCGGCCGAUAUCAGAUUAGGUAGUUGGUGGGGUAAAGGCUCACCAAGCCAACGAUCUGUAGCUGGUCUGAGAGGACGACCAGCCACACUGGGACUGAGACACGGCCCAGACUCCUACGGGAGGCAGCAGUGGGGAAUUUUGGACAAUGGGCGCAAGCCUGAUCCAGCCAUGCCGCGUGCGGGAAGAAGGCCUUCGGGUUGUAAACCGCUUUUGUCAGGGAAGAAAAGGUUCUGGCUAAUACCUGGGACUCAUGACGGUACCUGAAGAAUAAGCACCGGCUAACUACGUGCCAGCAGCCGCGGUAAUACGUAGGGUGCAAGCGUUAAUCGGAAUUACUGGGCGUAAAGCGUGCGCAGGCGGUUAUGCAAGACAGAGGUGAAAUCCCCGGGCUCAACCUGGGAACUGCCUUUGUGACUGCAUAGCUAGAGUGCGGCAGAGGGGGAUGGAAUUCCGCGUGUAGCAGUGAAAUGCGUAGAUAUGCGG
This 645-nucleotide ribosomal RNA is filed under the name uncultured beta proteobacterium. RNAcentral describes it as "bacterial SSU rRNA". It matches the Rfam family "Bacterial small subunit ribosomal RNA", at positions 54 to 701 of the family's 1533-position model. Lineage: Bacteria; Pseudomonadati; Pseudomonadota; Betaproteobacteria. The record is from RNAcentral.